AAAGCCAGUGGCGCGAAGCUA
Molecule: small nuclear RNA, 21 nt
Filed under: Arabidopsis thaliana (thale cress)
Lineage: Eukaryota; Viridiplantae; Streptophyta; Magnoliopsida; Brassicales; Brassicaceae
Description: snRNA_11047
Source: RNAcentral